This 497-nucleotide ribosomal RNA is filed under the name uncultured bacterium. RNAcentral describes it as "partial 16S ribosomal RNA". It matches the Rfam family "Bacterial small subunit ribosomal RNA", at positions 28 to 507 of the family's 1533-position model. The record is from RNAcentral.
GACGAACGCUGGCGGCGUGCCUAAUACAUGCAAGUAGAACGCUGAAGAGAGGAGCUUGCUCUUCUUGGAUGAGUUGCGAACGGGUGAGUAACGCGUAGGUAACCUGCCUGGUAGCGGGGGAUAACUAUUGGAAACGAUAGCUAAUACCGCAUAAAAUGGAUUAUCGCAUGAUAAUCCAUUGAAAGGUGCAAAUGCAUCACUACCAGAUGGACCUGCGUUGUAUUAGCUAGUUGGUGGGGUAACGGCUCACCAAGGCGACAAUACAUAGCCGACCUGAGAGGGUGAUCGGCCACACUGGGACUGAGACACGGCCCAGACUCCUACGGGAGGCAGCAGUAGGGAAUCUUCGGCAAUGGACGGAAGUCUGACCGAGCAACGCCGCGUGAGUGAAGAAGGUUUUCGGAUCGUAAAGCUCUGUUGUAAGAGAAGAACGAGUGUGAGAGUGGAAAGUUCACACUGUGACGGUAUCUUACCAGAAAGGGACGGCUAACUACGUG